CAGCGCCUUCGCGGAGGGAUCUGGGAGUGAAGCGCCGGGCCGGGCGCGGGUCGCACAGGUGCUUCGGCCGGACGCGAAACGGCUUUCAGUGGUUAGAAAGAGUAAGGGAGAAAGAGAAAAGGGAGGGUGCGAGAACGGGAGCGGAAGAAGAGAGAGGGAGGAGUGUCAUCAAGACGGUCCGAGCGCGGCGAGGGGGUAGGACGGCCGCUCAGCUCCGCGACAGGGGUUUUCCCUUGGUAACGGACCAAACGACCGAGUCAAGCAGCCGUGGGCUGUAUGGUGGUGAGGGGUAGGGAAUAACGAUAAAAAAUAGAAAAGGCGCCGCUAGACUGCAGCAUUUUCAAGCUUGGGUUGGAGCGCAGCCCAGGUCCCGCGAACUGGGAACCGGGAAGGCGGUAGUGGACGCUGCCGCGUCUCGAGACGGAAAGCGGCCGUGAGCCUCCCUGGGCCCCGCUCACCCCCGGGCCGGCCGUCGGGAAGGGCUUGCACCCCACCUCUUGCACCUCCUGUCAGGCCUCGCAUACGUGAUUUAGGCAACAGCGUUCAAGUAAUAAGCAAAUAACCAUAUAUAUUUUUAAGUGAAUAUUAUUAUGACCUCACUUUUUUCCGGAGUUGAGCUGCUUUGAAUUGUCUUGAAACGGUUUAGUAGUUUUCUGAAUUCUCAAGUGUCUUUUCAUCAGAUAGCGGACGCAGUAAUUCGGUGUUUCCGCAGCCCUAGCCGUCGAUAAGAGGACUUUUUCGAGAGGCUGCAGCCAAGGAACGAGACUGAGAAAGUCGCUCUUAAACGUUUUCUGCCUACCGACUACUCUCUGAGAUUAAGUUCUCUUUAAAGUAUUUCUGAACAUUUUGAGAAUAGUCAGCUCCUAACCUUUGUCUCCGUUUAGAUGGAUGAUGUAGCUGCCCCACUUCCUACUUGCACUCUUGUUUACUGGAAAAAUGCAUGGGAGAUCUGUGGAGGCGGUAAAGCGAGGAGUUCUGACUCUGGGAGGAAUUUUGCUAAAGUUAGGUCAAAAAGAGCAGUUAACAAAUGCAUCAUCACAUUCCGAUGUGUAGACUUUUUAAACCUGAAUCAUCUGUAAAGCUGAGGGCAUCGUUUGAAAACACUGACAAUUUCCUGUUAAUUUUCCCUAAGUGAAAUCAUCAAAUGCAUUUGUUUUCAUUCUGAAAAAAAUGUGCUUUGCUACAAAAUACUUACGGAAUCAAGCACACAUCUCUUUUUUCGGUUCUGAAACACUUAAAAUAUUUCAGUGUCUGUACUUUUUCAAAAAUCAUUUUUUCAGGAUCCUAUUGAUAUCACAAGCUGUUCAGUUUAUGUGAGUGUUCAGUUUAAACUGAUUGAGGCAAAACCAACAACUUUUUAUUUGUUGCUCAUUAAAUGUAAUAAGACAUGGGCACCUUGGGAAUGGCACCUAAAUCAAUCCAUAAUUUAUAGAAACCUACAGUCUCCUUGGGAAGACAGAUUACAUGACAAGAUGAACAAGAGAAAUGUGUAAAAAUAAUUGUCAAGGCAACAGAAUAAAUUAUAUAUAUGUAUUUUUUGUCA
Molecule: long non-coding RNA, 1543 nt
Filed under: Felis catus (domestic cat)
Lineage: Eukaryota; Metazoa; Chordata; Mammalia; Carnivora; Felidae
Description: lncRNA (ENSFCAG00000047732.1)
Source: RNAcentral